CAGCAGCCACGGUAAAACGAAGGGUGCAAGCGUUACUCGGAAUUACUGGGCGUAAAGCGUGCGUAGGUGGUGGUUUAAGUCCGUUGUGAAAGCCCUGGGCUCAACCUGGGAAUUGCAGUGGAUACUGGGUCACUAGAGUGUGGUAGAGGAUAGUGGAAUUUCCGGUGUAGCAGUGUAAUGCGUAGAGAUCGGAAGGAACAUCUGUGGCGAAGGCGACUAUCUGGGCCAACACUGACACUGAGGCACGAAAGCGUGGGGAGCAAACAGGAUUAGAUACCCGCGUAGUCCCUGUCUCUUAUAC
Molecule: ribosomal RNA, 301 nt
Filed under: uncultured bacterium
Lineage: Bacteria
Description: partial 16S ribosomal RNA
Rfam family: Bacterial small subunit ribosomal RNA
Source: RNAcentral